Molecule: ribosomal RNA, 429 nt
Filed under: Triticum aestivum (bread wheat)
Lineage: Eukaryota; Viridiplantae; Streptophyta; Magnoliopsida; Poales; Poaceae
Description: partial small subunit ribosomal RNA
Source: RNAcentral
AUGGAGUGGAGGCCAUUGCCCCGAGGAGUUCCAUGUCCGAGUCGUCGACAAGGUACGGUGCGUCAUCGCCGACAACAUGGAGGCGAGUCACCGGCGAGUUGCAUCACCGGCAACGAACAUGGAGGCGAGUCACCGGCGAGUUGCGGCACUGGUGGCGAAUAUGGAGGCGAGUCACUGGCGAGUUGCGGCACCGGUGAUGACCAUGGAGGUGAGUCACCGGCGAGUUGCGGCACUGGUGGCAAACAUGCGGCAGGGAGCAUGCCACGGCAGCACGCUCGUGGUGAAGGCGCGGGAGGUGUGGCUCUCAUUGAAACUAGCGCGUUAGCGACAAUAGGUGUGACAAGAUGGCAUUGGUGGUCGUCUCCGUGUUGCACCGACGACAUCGACGACCAUGGGCUUCAAGAGAGGAAUAAGAGACAACAAGGUUAA